AUAACUAGUCGAAAGAUUAGCUAAUACCGAAUAAUAACAUCAAUAUCGCAUGAGAAGAUGUAGAAAGUCGCGUUUGCGACGCUUUUGGAUGGGGGUGCGACGUAUCAGAUAGUUGGUGAGGUAAUGGCUCACCAAGUCAAUGACGCGUAGCUGUACUGAGAGGUAGAACAGCCACAAUGGGACUGAGACACGGCCCAUACUCCUCGGGAGGCAGCAGGC
RNAcentral lists this ribosomal RNA (219 nucleotides) under uncultured Ureaplasma sp. RNAcentral's name for it is "partial 16S ribosomal RNA". It matches the Rfam family "Bacterial small subunit ribosomal RNA", at positions 143 to 354 of the family's 1533-position model. The record is from RNAcentral. Lineage: Bacteria; Bacillati; Mycoplasmatota; Mycoplasmoidales; Mycoplasmoidaceae.